ACGAGAAGUAUCACAUCACGCCAA
This 24-nucleotide unclassified non-coding RNA is filed under the name Arabidopsis thaliana (thale cress). The record is from RNAcentral. Lineage: Eukaryota; Viridiplantae; Streptophyta; Magnoliopsida; Brassicales; Brassicaceae.